AGUGAACGCUGGCGGUAGGCCUAACACAUGCAAGUCGAACGGCAGCACAGUAAGAGCUUGCUCUUACGGGUGGCGAGUGGCGGACGGGUGAGGAGUACAUCGGAAUCUACUUUUUCGUGGGGGAUAACGUAGGGAAACUUACGCUAAUACCGCAUACGACCUACGGGUGAAAGCAGGGGAUCUUCGGCCCUUGCGCGAUUGAAUGAGCCGAUGUCGGAUUAGCUAGUUGGCGGGGUAAAGGCCCACCAAGGCGACGAUCCGUAGCUGGUCUGAGAGGAUGAUCAGCCACACUGGAACUGAGACACGGUCCAGACUCCUACGGGAGGCAGCAGUGGGGAAUAUUGGACAAUGGGCGCAAGCCUGAUCCAGCCAUACCGCGUGGGUGAAGAAGGCCUUCGGGUUGUAAAGCCCUUUUGUUGGGAAAGAAAAGCAGCAGGUUAAUACCCCGCUGUUCUGACGGUACCCAAAGAAUAAGCACCGGCUAACUUCGUG
This 492-nucleotide ribosomal RNA is filed under the name uncultured bacterium. RNAcentral describes it as "partial 16S ribosomal RNA". It matches the Rfam family "Bacterial small subunit ribosomal RNA", at positions 29 to 507 of the family's 1533-position model. The record is from RNAcentral.